This 542-nucleotide ribosomal RNA is filed under the name uncultured bacterium. Its description in RNAcentral is "bacterial SSU rRNA". It matches the Rfam family "Bacterial small subunit ribosomal RNA", at positions 969 to 1509 of the family's 1533-position model. The record is from RNAcentral.
CCUUACCUGGUCUUGACAUAGUAAGAACUUUCCAGAGAUGGAUUGGUGCCUUCGGGAACUUACAUACAGGUGCUGCAUGGCUGUCGUCAGCUCGUGUCGUGAGAUGGUUGGGUUAAGUCCCGCAACGAGCGCAACCCUUUUCCUUAUUUGCCAGCGGGUUAAGCCGGGAACUUUAAGGAUACUGCCAGUGACAAACUGGAGGAAGGCGGGGACGACGUCAAGUCAUCAUGGCCCUUACGACCAGGGCUACACACGUGCUACAAUGGUCGGUACAAAGGGUUGCUACCACGCGAGUGGAUGCUAAUCUCAAAAAGCCGAUCGUAGUCCGGAUUGGAGUCUGCAACUCGACUCCAUGAAGUCGGAAUCGCUAGUAAUCGCGGAUCAGAAUGCCGCGGUGAAUACGUUCCCGGGCCUUGUACACACCGCCCGUCACACCAUGGGAGUUUGUUGCACCAGAAGUAGGUAGUCUAACCGCAAGGAGGACGCUUACCACGGUGUGGCAGAUGACUGGGGUGAAGUCGUAACAAGGUAGGCGUAGAUGA